UGUGCUGUGUGUGUUCGGUCUGAGUUAAUGUUAUAUAUCUCUGUGUUAUAGAACACGUUCUGGUUCGGUCUGGGUGGUUGCUGUGUGUUCCUGGUUCCCAGCAUCAUCCUGUCAGUCAAACUGGCCAAGUACUACAGGAGGAUGGAUACGGAGGACGUGUUUGAAGAGGGCCAAGAAAACUGGUAGAGAAACAAAGGUGGGAAAGAGAACAAGACAACAACAACAACCCAAGAAGACAGAACUCUGCUGAUCUCUGCCCCACAACAACCUGAUUUGGAUAAGGACCUUAGCUGCUUAGCCAAUUACAGUAGCCCAAAUGAUGCCCUGUACGUUCCAUCGCCCAAUCACAACACUAGUUCUGUCUGACGUCACACCUGUGUGAACGUGUCGGUGGAUUAUUUCUAUAUAGUUGAUUCGAUAUAUCAAGAGUUAUUAGAGACAAGUGUUCUGUUUGUUUCUACUCAGCUGGAACCACUGACUCAUCUCAAUGACUUGUACAUUUUAUACGCUUUCAACACCUUUGAAAGUUUUAUAUAUAUUUUUUAAUAUAAUAUAUUAGCAUGUUAGCGGACGCUAGCUAACCCAAACCAUGUUAGCAGACACUAGAUACAAAACCAUUGUAAGCGUGUUAGCUAGCGGACGCUAGCUGCUUGUUGUUUGACAGCUUGUAACCAUCGCAUUGACUUUGAUGUCAUAUCUGUGAUGUCAUAUCGAUGAUGUCAGGACUGUGAUGUCACGACUGAUGUCACUUCAGGCUCUGAAUCUGUGAAUAAAGAGGUCAGUUCGCUGA
Molecule: long non-coding RNA, 790 nt
Organism: Oncorhynchus nerka (sockeye salmon)
Lineage: Eukaryota; Metazoa; Chordata; Actinopteri; Salmoniformes; Salmonidae
Exons: 2
Source: RefSeq, a predicted model, not a curated record